UGGUAAUGCCGGAUGUUCCAGUUGAUCGCAUGGUCUUCUGGGAAAGCUUUCGCGGUAUGGGAUGGGGUCGCGUCCUAUCAGCUUGACGGCGGGGUAACGGCCCACCGUGGCUUCGACGGGUAGCCGGCCUGAGAGGGCGACCGGCCACAUUGGGACUGAGAUACGGCCCAGACUCCUACGGGAGGCAGCAGUGGGGAAUAUUGCACAAUGGGCGCAAGCCUGAUGCAGCGACGCCGCGUGAGGGAUGGAGGCCUUCGGGUUGUAAACCUCUUUUAUCGGGGAGCAAGCGUGAGUGAGUUUACCCGUUGAAUAAGCACCGGCUAACUACGUGCCAGCAGCCGCGGUAAUACGUAGGGUGCAAGCGUUAUCCGGAAUUAUUGGGCGUAAAGGGCUCGUAGGCGGUUCGUCGCGUCCGGUGUGAAAGUCCAUCGCUUAACGGUGGAUCCGCGCCGGGUACGGGCGGGCUUGAGUGCGGUAGGGGAGACUGGAAUUCCCGGUGUAACGGUGGAAUGUGUAGAUAUCGGGA
Molecule: ribosomal RNA, 526 nt
Filed under: Bifidobacterium longum subsp. infantis
Lineage: Bacteria; Bacillati; Actinomycetota; Actinomycetes; Bifidobacteriales; Bifidobacteriaceae
Also listed under: 1 other name
Description: bacterial SSU rRNA
Rfam family: Bacterial small subunit ribosomal RNA
Source: RNAcentral